Molecule: transfer-messenger RNA, 384 nt
Filed under: Patescibacteria group
Lineage: Bacteria
Also listed under: 5 other names
Description: UBA1406 sp001788295 Standard tmRNA
Rfam family: transfer-messenger RNA
About the family: Bacterial tmRNA, also known as 10Sa RNA or SsrA, is named for its dual tRNA and mRNA-like properties. Its role is to liberate the mRNA from a stalled ribosome. To accomplish this part of the tmRNA is used as a reading frame that ends in a translation stop signal.
Source: RNAcentral
GGGGAUGACGGGCAUCGACAUAAAAGCAGCUUUGAAGAUUGCAAUUGGCAACUAUGCCUUAAAUAGCCAAAUAAGUGAUGAACAAUCACAAGAGGAAGCUGCGGCUAAUAGAGAAUAUUUCUCUAACGCCAACUUUGCUUAUGCAACCGCGUAAGUAAUUAAGCUUCUUGUCCGACAUUAAGUCGGACCAUCAAUCUAAUCAGACGCCGAUAGAUUAGAAUUGGUGUUAACCCUCGGCUUUGGUAUUCCAGGGAAGAGAUCAACCGAAGAAUAUCGAGACAAAAAAAGAUCUCAAAACCUUCCGCCUUUGGCGGAAUAAACUUGCUACAAAAUCUUUGAAGAACGCUUUUGUGCACCCCGGUUCAACUCCGGGCAUCUCCACCA